Molecule: small nucleolar RNA, 106 nt
Organism: Malania oleifera
Lineage: Eukaryota; Viridiplantae; Streptophyta; Magnoliopsida; Santalales; Ximeniaceae
Source: RefSeq, a predicted model, not a curated record
ACUUGGUGAUGUGGGCAUUUGCGCAAGAGGUUCCUAAAGCGCUCCCAUGUCUCGAAAAAUUAUUCCUUAUCCAAUUAUAGAAAACUAGUGAUUGCCUUCCUCGGCU